Molecule: RNA transcript, 1473 nt
Organism: Panicum virgatum (switchgrass)
Lineage: Eukaryota; Viridiplantae; Streptophyta; Magnoliopsida; Poales; Poaceae
Exons: 8
Source: RefSeq, a predicted model, not a curated record
GUGAGGAGCUUGUGUGCACCCCAACCCAAAAGAUCCUGCUUCUCCUCACGGUUACCACCAUACCGCAACUCCACCCAAAGCCAUAAAAACCAGUGCAGCAACAAUGAGAGCUAAAGUUUCCAGGCUCUGAAUUUUCAGCAUGUUGGCGCCCGCAUCAGCCCAGGUGCCUCACACCAUACGACCUGUUGCAAACUGCUUUGGGCUUCAUCGACGAUCUGACCGAUAUCACAGAUGGCGAGGGACUGGAAAGAAGAUGAUUCUUUCCACUCGUGGUGUGCUCGAAUCCAGCAAUGGUGCACCAUCCGGUGGCCUUGUGAAAAAAAGAAAGAUUGUGGAGCACAUUAUUCUGCUUCGAGCCAAGCCAAACAUCUCAGAUGCUGAAGAGAAAGAUAUGCUGGAUUAUCUAUAUACAUCACAAUACCAGAUGAGAGGGAUACUCACAAUCUCGUUGGGCCGCAUAGAGGAGCCAAAUAGCGAGAACUUUACGCACGCUGUCUUCAUGCGUUUUCAGCAGAAAGAAGACAUUGUGAAGUUCUACAGUAGUGCCUACUAUUCCAAAAUUCUUGAUGACCACGUAAAACCUGUUUCCUAUAUUUCGAGUCUGAGGUGGAAGAUGACAUUAUUCCCCUCUUUCGUAGGGGAGAGGUAUCUCAAGCUGCCUUAUUCUGGCGUAAAUUGGUACCAUUCUUUACUAUGUAAAAUACCCAUUGCAUUUGAACAGAAAAGCUGGUCCUUGUGUCAGGAUUUUAACUACGGUGUUGAGUUUAUGUUGCUCAUGUCUUUCGUGGAAACUGCAUCUCGAGAGGCAAUGGAGGAUGCAUCAUCUUCUCUGCAGAGGUUGAUCAUCCAAUGCAGUUCAUUUAUUGUUCAGGCAACCUGUGGUAAGACUGCAUGGUAUCCUUAUGGUUCCUCUGUCGAAUUGCCAACCUUGGAUCACCUGUACAUUUUGCUGAAGCUGAAGGCCACUGUUUGAAUCCGGAAAACGGAUAUAAUCACGCUGCAGUGAUCCGGUUUCCAUCAUUUGAUGACUUCAAGUUGUUCCGGGAGAGCAUGGAGUACAAGGAUGUAAGGAUUCUCUACUUGCAUCUGUUCAUAUUUGAGUUUCCUGUUUGGAUUCGCAUACCUUAAACAAAUUGUAUUACACAUAAGAUGUGGGCAUCAAAGUUCCAUCCUAUUGUGGAGAAAUCCCUCCAGCUACAUUUCACCGUCGACCCCGUGGGGAACCAGCUGAUGUAGACCAGCCAUGCCUCUGCACUCUUCAGAUGAACACAGACCUUGCUGGGAGUCGAACAACAUCUCUGCUCAUAUGGGAAUGUUUUACUGUCGUGUGCACUCUGUCCCAAAGUGUGCCUGCAAAUUGUGCUCCACAACAACUUCUUGUAGUAUACUCAAUAUAAAGAAGAGAAUGAACACUGUAUUUAUGAAUGGACCUCGACAGUCAACUGCUAGCUUGAUCGAAGUUAUCGAUAUCAA